GAUGAACGCUAGCGGCAGGCCUAAUACAUGCAAGUCGAACGGGAUUGCGGUAGUAGCUUGCUACUACUGCAUGAGAGUGGCGCACGGGUGCGUAACGCGUGAGCAACCUACCCAUAUCAGGGGGAUAGCCCGGCGAAAGUCGGAUUAACACCGCAUAACAUCAACAGUUCGCAUGUUCAGUUGAUUAAAUAUUUAUAGGAUAUGGAUGGGCUCGCGUGACAUUAGCUAGUUGGUAGGGUAACGGCUUACCAAGGCAACGAUGUCUAGGGGCUCUGAGAGGAGAAUCCCCCACACUGGUACUGAGACACGGACCAGACUCCUACGGGAGGCAGCAGUAAGGAAUAUUGGUCAAUGGGCGCAAGCCUGAACCAGCCAUGCCGCGUGCAGGAGGACUGCCCUAUGGGUUGUAAACUGCUUUUAUCAGGGAAUAAACCCCUUUACGAGUAGAGGGUUGAAUGUACCUGAAGAAUAAGGAUCGGCUAACUCCGUG
Molecule: ribosomal RNA, 490 nt
Filed under: uncultured bacterium
Lineage: Bacteria
Description: partial 16S ribosomal RNA
Rfam family: Bacterial small subunit ribosomal RNA
Source: RNAcentral